CAGUAGCCGCGGUAAUCCGAAGGGGGCUAGCGUUGCUCGGAAUGACUGGGCGUAAAGGGCGCGUAGGCGGCGAUCAAAGUCAGGCGUGAAAUUCCUGGGCUCAACCUGGGGGCUGCGCUUGAUACUUGGUUGCUUGAGUGGGGAAGAGGGUCGUGGAAUUCCCAGUGUAGAGGUGAAAUUCGUAGAUAUUGGGAAGAGCACCGGUGGCGAAGGCGGCGACCUGGUCCUUGACUGACGCUGAGGCGCGAAAGCGUGGGGAGCAAACAGGAUUAGAUACCCGCGUAGUCCCUGUCUCUUAUAC
RNAcentral lists this ribosomal RNA (301 nucleotides) under uncultured bacterium. Its description in RNAcentral is "partial 16S ribosomal RNA". It matches the Rfam family "Bacterial small subunit ribosomal RNA", at positions 509 to 807 of the family's 1533-position model. The record is from RNAcentral.